This 449-nucleotide ribosomal RNA is filed under the name uncultured bacterium. RNAcentral describes it as "bacterial SSU rRNA". It matches the Rfam family "Bacterial small subunit ribosomal RNA", at positions 111 to 578 of the family's 1533-position model. The record is from RNAcentral.
UAACGCGUGGGUAACCUGCCUCAUACAGGGGGAUAACAGUUAGAAAUGACUGCUAAUACCGCAUAAGACCACGGAGCCGCAUGGCUCCGUGGGAAAAACUCCGGUGGUAUGAGAUGGACCCGCGUCUGAUUAGGUAGUUGGUGGGGUAACGGCCUACCAAGCCAACGAUCAGUAGCCGACCUGAGAGGGUGACCGGCCACAUUGGGACUGAGACACGGCCCAAACUCCUACGGGAGGCAGCAGUGGGGAAUAUUGCACAAUGGGGGAAACCCUGAUGCAGCGACGCCGCGUGAGCGAAGAAGUAUUUCGGUAUGUAAAGCUCUAUCAGCAGGGAAGAAAAUGACGGUACCUGACUAAGAAGCACCGGCUAAAUACGUGCCAGCAGCCGCGGUAAUACGUAUGGUGCAAGCGUUAUCCGGAUUUACUGGGUGUAAAGGGAGCGUAGACGG